RNAcentral lists this transfer-messenger RNA (336 nucleotides) under human gut metagenome. It matches the Rfam family "transfer-messenger RNA". Rfam says of the family: Bacterial tmRNA, also known as 10Sa RNA or SsrA, is named for its dual tRNA and mRNA-like properties. The record is from RNAcentral.
GGGGUAGUACUGGUUUCGACAGGGGCCAUGCAGCUGGUGAAGCUAUCCGCAUGCGAUGCGUUAAAUGGCAAAAUAAAUAUAAACGCUGAAGACAAUUUAGCAAUCGCUGCCUAAUGGCAGCUGUCAGACUUAGUGCACUCACACAUUAAGACCCUGGCAUCGACUUUGUGAGAAACGACUUGUGCAAAGCUUUGAGCACCUGGGCGUAUGAUGAAGCUACUGAAACCUCAAGGAUGUUCGUUUCCGUGAGGCAGAGGGAAUGUUAAACAACGGACUAUGAUAGUAGAAGAACAGGGAAUUGGUUUUUGGACACGGGUUCAAAUCCCGUCUACUCCA